CCUACGGGCGGCUGCAGUGGGGAAUCUUGCGCAAUGGACGAAAGUCUGACGCAGCCAUGCCGCGUGAAUGAUGAAGGUCUUAGGAUUGUAAAGUUCUUUAGCCUGUGACGAUGAUGACGGUAACAGGAGAAUAAGCCCCGGCUAACUUCGUGCCAGCAGCCGCGGUAAUACGAAGGGGGCUAGCGUUGUUCGGAAUUACUGGGCGUAAAGCGCGCGUAGGCGGUUUUACAAGCCAGAGGUGAAAUGCCUGAGCUCAACUUAGGAAUUGCCUUUGGAACUGUAUGGCUUUGAGGACGAGAGAGGUGAGUGGAAUUCCCAGUGUAGAGGUGAAAUUCGUAGAUAUUGGGAAGAACACCGGUGGCGAAGGCGGCUCACUGGCUCGUUACUGACGCUGUAGCGCGAAAGCGUGGGGAUCAAACAGGAUUAGAUACCCGUGUAGUC
This 441-nucleotide ribosomal RNA is filed under the name uncultured Hyphomicrobiales bacterium. RNAcentral describes it as "bacterial SSU rRNA". It matches the Rfam family "Bacterial small subunit ribosomal RNA", at positions 338 to 795 of the family's 1533-position model. The record is from RNAcentral. Lineage: Bacteria; Pseudomonadati; Pseudomonadota; Alphaproteobacteria; Hyphomicrobiales.